UGGAUGGCUGGGCUGGAUACCAAGAAGCGGUUUACCGUCCCACAUACAUACUCAAAAUGUAUGUGGGACGGUAAACCAUUUCUUCAAGUACCGC
RNAcentral lists this microRNA precursor (94 nucleotides) under Rhinolophus ferrumequinum (greater horseshoe bat). RNAcentral's name for it is "microRNA 299 (ENSRFEG00010004109.1)". The stretch from base 22 to 84 matches the Rfam family "mir-299 microRNA precursor family". Lineage: Eukaryota; Metazoa; Chordata; Mammalia; Chiroptera; Rhinolophidae. The record is from RNAcentral.